GUGUCAUGAAGAGGUACAACAGGGAAGAGGGCAAUCAUGGUCCCUGCCUUAGUGGAUCUUACGGCAUCUUGGGGGCACAGAUAAUAAACACCUGAAUCUGAAAAUUAUCCUUUGAGGAAGGCUGAGCAAGAAUUAAUUCCCCCAUUUUACAGAGGUCCUGCUAUGGUCCUGCUAUGUUACCCAAGGUGGUCUUGAACUCCUGGCCUCAAGCCAUCCUCCUGCCUCGGCCUCCCAAAGUGCCAAGAUUAUAGGCAUGAGCCACUGCACACCCAGCCUGCCGUGUGACAUCUGAGGCUAGAUUAUAAGAAUGCUAUGAGCUUCCACCUGGCUUUCAUGGACAGGAUGCUAACUCUUGGAACUCACCUGCCAUGUCGUGAGGAAGUCCAAAUCAUCCCACAUGGAGAGGCCUGUGAAGGUGCUCUAGCUCACAGCCCAGCUGAGGUCCUGGCUGACAGCCUGCAUCAUCUGCCAGGUAUGAGUGAAGAUGCUUCCAGAUGAUUCUAGCUCCCACUCUCAACUUGGAUUCUUCCCAGCAGAGGCUCCAGAAAUCAUAGAGCAGAGAUCGCCUCUCCCUACUCUGCUUUGUCCAAGUUCUGGGCUAUAAAAUCUAUGAGCAUGGUAGCAUGAUUGUUUUACACCAGAAAGUUUUGGGGUAGUUUGUGACAUAGCAACUGGUACAGAAAUUAUUUGCUAACAAGCAGGCAUCUCUCUCAAGGGGGAAAGUCUUCUGGUUAUCUUUGCACCCUUUUCUGGGGCAAAUAUGAUUGGUAGGGAUGAUGCCCAUCAUAGCACCAUUGCUUCAUCAGAGGCCGUUUGGAUCAAUGAGCCCUUCCGUGUUCUUUAGUCACAAUAUGUUAAUAUAUCUUACUUGUCCAUUUCCCACUGACUAGAAUAUCAGUUCCCUAUGAUAAGUUUUUUCCCCUAUUUUGUUUGUUCCUAUAUCCCCCAAACCCAAACUAGUACAGGUGCUCCUCACCUUAUGAUGGGGUUACCUCCCAAUAAACCCGCCAUAAAGUUGAAAAAUCCUAAGUUGAACCAUCUUAAGUUGAGGACCAUCUGUGCUUGGUAGUUGCUCAAUAAAUAAUUGUUGCAAUAAAAAAUUGUCGGAUGAAUGGUUAUGAAACAAACAUCUAGUGGGCAAAAGUUUUGAUACUGAUUUCUGGAGAGAAUUUUGCUAACAUUACCAUGUUCUAGUUGUUAUGAUAAUGUAAAAUUACUUUCUGGAUAAGGACAAGUUCACAUUGUGGUGGUAAUUUCUGGAGAAUAAUUGUUAAACGUUCCCACUUUUUCUUGAAAUAACACAAAAGAAUCAUUAGGAAAGGUAUAAUGAGUGUUAGGGACACGUCAGGUCCAUACUCAGGAGCUUGUUCAAGGAAUUGGUACCUGGACACUCUCUAAAAGGAUUUGAUAUCAGUCAACAAGGAAGAAGUGAUUCGAGUAAACCUUCCUUUGUUGCCUGGCAUAUGCUGGGUAUCAUAGGGACCACAAAAAAUGUAAGAUGUAGAUGCUGUCUUCAAACUGUGUUGAGUCUAGCUGGGGAGACAUAAGAUUGGAAUCUAUAUACAGAUAGCCCAGUAAGGCAAGCUAGGUCCAGUGGUGAAACUGAUAGGGUUUCACCAGCUGAGGUCCCCAAGGGUGAGAGAAUGUCAAAGAAGACUUCCUGGAGGAGGCAAGUUAAAGGGGAUUAUGGGUUGGGCAGGUGGACAGCUUCCUGAUCCACUAAUCAGAGGAACACUGAAACCACAGGGAUCCAUCAGAAAUCUGCUGCCUGUUAACUCAGGUUUCCACCUGCAGCUUCUCACAUAGCUGGUGGAAAUGAAAUUGGUGUCCCUUUUGCCAAAAUAGACAAUGCCCCUAAGUAGAAAGAAAAGCUACUCCUCCCCAGCACCAGCCUACCUCUGUGGGGGUAUUUCUGCAAUGUGCAUUGCAAGUUGCUGCAUCCACUGGCCAGUCUGGCUCUGAGAUCAGCCAGCUGGCAGCCUCUGCAGUGGGCAUGGCUGGGCAGCCUGAAUUCUGAAACCAAUUAAUGCACUGCAAAGGACGGUUUACCAAGAAGGUAUCUGCAAGCCUUAAAAAAUAUCUCCUAAAAAGUUGUCCACUUGUAGUCCCAGCUACUCGGGAGGCUGAGACUGGAGGAUUGCUUGAGGCUAUGAGUUUGAGGCUGUGGUGAGCUAUGAUUGCAUCAAUGCAUACCAGCCUGGGCAACCAAGUGAAACACCGUUGCUGUAACCACAAGCGCCUGAAAACAAGCAAUAAAUAUAUCUAGAAUAAGA
Homo sapiens (human) is the source of this 2273-nucleotide long non-coding RNA. RefSeq lists it as uncharacterized. The transcript has 2 exons. The record is from RefSeq and is a predicted model, not a curated record. NCBI's taxonomy places the organism in Eukaryota, Metazoa, Chordata, Mammalia, Primates, Hominidae.